CUGGGCUACACACGUGCUACAAUGGCCGGUACAGACGGACGCAAAGCCGCGAGGUGGAGCAAAUCCUAAAAAGACCGGUCUCAGUUCGGAUUGCUAGGCUGCAAUUCGCCUGCAUGAAGUCGGAAUCGCUAGUAAUCGCAGGUCAGCAUACUGCGGUGAAUACGUUCCCGGGCCUU
This 176-nucleotide ribosomal RNA is filed under the name uncultured Bacillus sp. Its description in RNAcentral is "partial 16S ribosomal RNA". It matches the Rfam family "Bacterial small subunit ribosomal RNA", at positions 1209 to 1382 of the family's 1533-position model. Lineage: Bacteria; Bacillati; Bacillota; Bacilli; Caryophanales; Bacillaceae. The record is from RNAcentral.